This 237-nucleotide ribosomal RNA is filed under the name uncultured bacterium. RNAcentral describes it as "partial 16S ribosomal RNA". It matches the Rfam family "Bacterial small subunit ribosomal RNA", at positions 335 to 589 of the family's 1533-position model. The record is from RNAcentral.
ACUCCUACGGGAGGCAGCAGUGGGGAAUCUUAGACAAUGGGCGCAAGCCUGAUCUAGCCAUGCCGCGUGUGUGACGAAGGUCUUAGGAUCGUAAAGCACUUUCGCCGGGAAGAUAAUGACGGUACCCGGUAAGCAAGACCCGACCGUAUAUCCGUGCCAGCAGCCGCGGUAAUACGGAGGGGUUAGCGUUGUUCGGAAUUACUGGGCGUAAAGCGCGCGUAGGCGGACUGGAAAGUU